Molecule: ribosomal RNA, 40 nt
Filed under: Gloeophyllum subferrugineum
Lineage: Eukaryota; Fungi; Basidiomycota; Agaricomycetes; Gloeophyllales; Gloeophyllaceae
Description: partial 18S ribosomal RNA
Source: RNAcentral
KAACAAGGUUUCCGUAGGUGAACCUGCGGAAGGAUCAUUA